This is a long non-coding RNA of Triticum aestivum (bread wheat), 455 nucleotides long. RefSeq lists it as uncharacterized. NCBI's taxonomy places the organism in Eukaryota, Viridiplantae, Streptophyta, Magnoliopsida, Poales, Poaceae. The transcript has 3 exons. The record is from RefSeq and is a predicted model, not a curated record.
CACGCUCGUCCAAGGUCCGCUCCUUCAGUUCGAUUUGCUCUGCAUCCCUUCCCGUGCCCUCCCUGAUUGAUCUUCUCCCGGUUGCUUCCUUGCUUUCCUUCCCCACGCUCUUUCUUUGUGAGACGACAUCCAACAUCAAUCACCAGCGACCGACUCCCUGCUGUGGCCGGCCGACCAACUAUACCUGCUACUCACCCGGACGCCUCCCUUCUUUGGUUCCAGGAAAGAUGGCCGCCGCUAUACAUUGCCGGAGGAGCACAUUCCUGCAGAGCUCAUGGGACGCACCCCUUCAAGGGGCUUGCUGCUGACCACGAGGGUCAACUUGGAGCUCCUCUCUGCCCCUGCAGGCGAUUAACCAUCUUCCCGUGGCAGUCACCGCCGCUCCAGCAGGGGCUUGCUGACCACAAGGAUCAACUUGGUGCCUGCUUUGGAAUUUCCCAUGAGAGAGAGGCGAG